This 46-nucleotide ribosomal RNA is filed under the name Morinda citrifolia (Indian mulberry). RNAcentral's name for it is "partial 28S ribosomal RNA". The record is from RNAcentral. Lineage: Eukaryota; Viridiplantae; Streptophyta; Magnoliopsida; Gentianales; Rubiaceae.
UAUCACCAACCGGAAGGAAAAGAUUUCCUCUCCCUUUAUUUAUAAG